This is a long non-coding RNA of Ochotona princeps (American pika), 655 nucleotides long. RefSeq lists it as uncharacterized. The transcript has 3 exons. The record is from RefSeq and is a predicted model, not a curated record. Lineage: Eukaryota; Metazoa; Chordata; Mammalia; Lagomorpha; Ochotonidae.
CGCCCGAGCCGUCCCCAAGGGGCGCACCGGCUCCUCCACCAGGUUUCACAGCCUCCCUGGCCUUGGGGCCGCCUCCGAAGAAGCCCCGGCUUCCCGCCACUUGGGACCCCACGAGCAGGGCUGACCGGAGGGAGGCUGGGGGGAGGGGGAGCUUCAGCCUGCGAGAGAAACUGCCCGAAGCACACCGGAGGACAGGGGCCUCCUCCUUCCCGUCCUCUGUGUGCACACUCUCCCCUGAGCUGACAUGGAACACGAUUAGCCCCAACCAUGUGCCUCCGAGGGACUGGGACGGCAAACCCAAAACGCAGUAUCGCCAACCAGCAGGACAGGUAGCAACAGAAAGGGUGGACUUGCCUCACACAAAGGGGAAGAUCCUUAUUACCCGGCCUUCACGCUCAGCUGAGAGAUGCCUGGCUCCACGGAGGAGCAAGGAAGGAUUUCUGGAGGUCCUAGCAUCCGCGCCGAAGAAUGCAAAGAUAGCACAUGAUUCAACAAACCUACUAUAAAUACACAAACACAAAACUGAGAGUCUGAAUGGCCACCUGCCCUCGGCUCUCCCAGGCUUGUGUAGAUGUCUGUCCCAGCACUCAGACUCAGCUCUGAGCGAGAAAGAGGGAUUAUCAGAGUCAUUUCUGUUGCUUCCAGAACCUUUAAG